GAUGAACGCUGGCGGCGUGCCUAAUACUUGCAAGUCGAGCGAACAGAUGAGGAGCUUGCUCCUCUGACGUUAGCGGCGGACGGGUGAGUAACACGUGGAUAACCUACCUAUAAGACUGGGAUAACUUCGGGAAACCGGAGCUAAUACCGGAUAAUAUAUUGAACCGCAUGGUUCAAUAGUGAAAGACGGUUUUGCUGUCACUUAUAGAUGGAUCCGCGCCGCAUUAGCUAGUUGGUAAGGUAACGGCUUACCAAGGCAACGAUGCGUAGCCGACCUGAGAGGGUGAUCGGCCACACUGGAACUGAGACACGGUCCAGACUCCUACGGGAGGCAGCAGUAGGGAAUCUUCCGCAAUGGGCGAAAGCCUGACGGAGCAACGCCGCGUGAGUGAUGAAGGUCUUCGGAUCGUAAAACUCUGUUAUUAGGGAAGAACAAAUGUGUAAGUAACUAUGCACGUCUUGACGGUACCUAAUCAGAAAGCCACGGCUAACUACGUG
RNAcentral lists this ribosomal RNA (497 nucleotides) under uncultured bacterium. RNAcentral's name for it is "partial 16S ribosomal RNA". It matches the Rfam family "Bacterial small subunit ribosomal RNA", at positions 28 to 507 of the family's 1533-position model. The record is from RNAcentral.